This 223-nucleotide ribosomal RNA is filed under the name uncultured bacterium. RNAcentral describes it as "partial 16S ribosomal RNA". It matches the Rfam family "Bacterial small subunit ribosomal RNA", at positions 943 to 1167 of the family's 1533-position model. The record is from RNAcentral.
GGUUUAAUUCGAUGAUACGCGAGGAACCUUACCCGGGCUUGAACUGCAGGAGAACGAUUCAGAGAUGAUGAGGUCCUUCGGGACUCCUGUGGAGGUGCUGCAUGGUUGUCGUCAGCUCGUGCCGUGAGGUGUCGGCUUAAGUGCCAUAACGAGCGCAACCCCUCUCCGUAGUUGCCAUCGGGUGAUGCCGGCACUCUGCGGACACUGCCACCGUAAGGUGUGA